RNAcentral lists this long non-coding RNA (272 nucleotides) under Eutrema salsugineum. RNAcentral describes it as "long non-coding RNA (ESAL_LNC000987)". Lineage: Eukaryota; Viridiplantae; Streptophyta; Magnoliopsida; Brassicales; Brassicaceae. The record is from RNAcentral.
UUUUGCAUGGACACAUGAUGGCUCGGACAAAGCGACCAAAUGUUGAAUUGCGAGAUGAAAUUUAUCGAAGAAGAACAUAAUCAUGAAGACAUAGAACAGAAUCAGGAAGAUGUAGAACAAAAUCAGGAUCGGUACGAGGUGCUAUGUUUGGGAAGCAGUGACAAAAUUUCUAGAAGGGUUAAAGUAUCCGAGGGGAAACAGAAGAAUGUGAAGAAGGAGAAGAAGGAAAAGAAGAAGAAGAAACCAAAGACUGGGUAAUACCUAUAUGUGCU